UUGAUGCAGUGUAAAAUAUGAUAACGGCUCAGAUUGCCGAUAGGGCAAAAGCUAUCAAAUGUGUAUAUAGCUUGUAUAUGACAUAUGUCUUUUGUUUAGCUAGCCUAUUAAAAGUGGUGAUCUGAAUAAACGUAGUUCUUCUACUCUUGGACUUGAAAGUGUUCGGUUGUUUAUUACGAAAGAGAAAUAUUUUACUGGCGACGAGGAUAAGUGGCAAAGCGUGUGCAAAAGGAAAGUUUUGGAAGUUCGGAUAGUUUAAUUGGAUUGAAGUUUUUCGGAUAUUUUGGAAGUUUGUGGACUGUGACGCUAUUGCCGGUCAAGUUGAUGCGGUUGCGCUUCGGAGCGACGUUUGAACGCACACCAUUUUCGUUACGGUGAGGCUUUUAUUAGUGGAACUAGCCCCUGGCCCCGUUUCCCGCGAAAAACGUACAGAGUAAGCGCGGAGGAUUGAUCUGAGGAAUUUGGUUGAUAGCGGAAUUUUGAGGUAGCGAUCGGUUCAAACACAAUCUCGGCUCACAGGGAGCAGAUUCGACUGAAGGAAGGACCUCGACGCCGGCGUAAUGUCGCGUUGGCGCCUCACAACAUGGUCAGGAGAGGCACUAAACGUCAGGCUAAUGAUUCAUUCGACGAUGAAGAACCAUUCUAUGGAUUUGAUUCGACUAUGGAACCACCUACGCCCGCCAGAAAUGAAGUUCAUCCUGCUAAGCUGCAAUUCCGAAGCAACGAAACACCAUGUGAGAAAAGUGUGAAGACUAUUCCGAGAUGAUCCACUAGAUUGAAGAAACGUAGGAGGCGAGAUGAAUUUGAGAAUGAAAUUUGAUUUUUGUUUCAACUUAUAGUAAAUUUAGAAUUUUUAUACAGGUAUCGAGUAAAUUUGAUUUUCUGAAAUAGCAUGAUAAAUAAGAUUGAUACGUUCUGAUCAUAAUUGUAGUUGAGUUGAGACUUUGAAUAUCAUAAGUUCGAAUUUAUACGUCGUUGCUUAAAAGGGAAGGAUUAUAAUAUCCGUUCGAUUUGAUGCAGUGUAAAAUAUGAUAACGGCUCAGAUUGCCGAUAGGGCAAAAGCUAUCAAAUGUGUAUAUAGCUUGUAUAUGACAUAUGUCUUUUGUUUAGCUAGCCUAUCUGAAUAAACGUAGUUCUUCUACUC
Long non-coding RNA from Armigeres subalbatus, 1144 nucleotides. RefSeq lists it as uncharacterized. The transcript is spliced from 3 exons. The record is from RefSeq and is a predicted model, not a curated record. Lineage: Eukaryota; Metazoa; Arthropoda; Insecta; Diptera; Culicidae.